GGACAACCUACCCUAUGGAAGGGGAUAAUCCCGGGAAACUGGGGAUAAUACCCUAUAGACUAUGGAUGCUGGAAUGCUCUGUAGCCGAAAGGUCCGCCGCCAUAGGAUGGGUCUGCGGCCGAUUAGGUUGUUGUUGGGGUAACGGCCCAACAAGCCUGUAAUCGGUACGGGUUGUGGGAGCAAGAGCCCGGAGAUGGAUUCUGAGACACGAAUCCAGGCCCUACGGGGCGCAGCAGGCGCGAAAACUUUGCAAUGCGGGAAACCGUGACAAGGGAACUCUGAGUGCCCGUAAAAUCGGGCUGUCCAUCAGUUUAAAAAACUGGUGAAGAGAGGGCCGGGCAAGACCGGUGCCAGCCGCCGCGGUAAUACCGGCGGCUCGAGUGGUGGCCACUAUUACUGGGCUUAAAGCGUUCGUAGCUGGUUUGUUAAGUCUCUGGGGAAAUCUUCCGGCUUAACCGGAAGGCGUCUCAGGGAUACUGGCAGACUAGGGACCGGAAGAGGUGAGAGGUACUCCAAGGGUAGGAGUGAAAUCCUGUAAUCCUUGGGGGACCACCUGUGGCGAAGGCGUCUCACCAGGACGGCUCCGACAGUGANGGACGAAAGCUGGGGGAGCAAACCGGAUUAGAUACCCGGGUAGUCCCAGCCGUAAACGAUGCGCGUUAGGUGUAUCGGUGAC
This 676-nucleotide ribosomal RNA is filed under the name uncultured Methanomicrobiaceae archaeon. RNAcentral describes it as "SSU rRNA". It matches the Rfam family "Archaeal small subunit ribosomal RNA", at positions 102 to 783 of the family's 1478-position model. Lineage: Archaea; Methanobacteriati; Methanobacteriota; Methanomicrobia; Methanomicrobiales; Methanomicrobiaceae. The record is from RNAcentral.